RNAcentral lists this long non-coding RNA (1648 nucleotides) under Olea europaea (common olive). RNAcentral's name for it is "long non-coding RNA (OEUR_LNC015318)". Lineage: Eukaryota; Viridiplantae; Streptophyta; Magnoliopsida; Lamiales; Oleaceae. The record is from RNAcentral.
UAAUCUCUGAUCUCACAACUGAAUCUUCCAUCUUUAAACCAAAUUUCAGCCUUGAAAACUCAACAAAUGAUUAUGAUUUCUCAGAAUUCGAAACAAAGCCUGUAAAACACACAAACUUUAGUGAAAGGAAGCCUUCGUUGAAUAUUCAUAUUCCUCAUGUGAAGAAAUUGGAGCGGGACAGUACAGUUAAGGUGGUGGAGAAGAAAGUUGAAGAUUCUGGCGAGAGGAAGCGGUAUAGAGGAGUCAGACAGCGGCCAUGGGGGAAGUUCGCGGCGGAGAUACGCGAUCCUAACCGGAAAGGGACUCGGGUUUGGCUAGGGACUUUCGAGACGGCCGUGGAGGCGGCGAAGGCUUACGACAGGGCGGCGUUUAAGCUGAGAGGGAGCAAAGCAAUAGUGAAUUUCCCACUUGAAAUUACCAACUCCAACCCUCCUCUGCCGGAAAAUACUGAACGGAAAAGGGUGAUAGAAGAGGAAAGUCUAGAGAGAAAAACAAAGGUGGUAAAGAGAGAAGAAGUUGAGAAUGAUAAAAUUGGAGCCUCCCCGGCUGUGCCACUAACGCCAUCAAGUUGGACGGCGGUUUGGGAUUCUGGCGAUAUGAAGGGUAUAUUUGAUGUGCCGCCGUUAUCUCCAUGAUCUCCACAUCCAAGUUUGGGUUAUUCAAAAUCAAGGCUCACGGUUAAUUAAUUUUGGGGCUUAAAAUUGUGUUUAAUUACUUUAUUAGAUUAAAAGAUGCACCUGCUUAAAAGUUGGGGUGAGUUAGUGAUUUAGAGAAGUACAAGGGUGAGAUUUGUAAUUUCAUGUGUUUUUUAAUUCAAUGUGCAUACUGGGUUAUUAGUUUGAGAUUUCGUUUAUUCAUUUGUACGAGAGAUACAAUGGCAAUCGUGUUACUUUUAUUAAAUUUUUAAUUUUUCUUUUGUCAAAAAGCAUAAUUUUCAGCCAUCAAUUCCACAAGCUUUGAAUUUAUAAUUGCACCAUACAUAUAUUAUCUAUAUAAAAUAGACACAAUUUUUUGAACUUUUUUUUUUUUUUGCCUUUUAAUACUGGACAUUCAUAUGUUUACUUUACUAAACAACUCAUUAUCAUUUACGAAAAUUUAAUGGCAUUUGCAUUGUCGAAAACUCACAUGAAUUAGUUUAAGACACAUACGUAUUGUGCACGAAUUCUAUUCUACUAGAUCACUAACGAGACGCGAUAAGUUGAUAGCGAUGAGUAGAGAAGAAUAAUUGAUUAGAUAAAAUGUGCGUGCACUACCCAAUUUUAUUUUCCUUCAUAAAAUAUAUUAGUAUAGUUUAAAAGCGUUUUUAGUUCAAUUUUGAUUCCAUCUUUGAUGCAUGUAAUAAAAUCUUUUAGACUUCACAAAAUAGGAUAUGAGCGAGAAAUAUCUAAAAUUGUAGCCAGUCGAGUAAAUACUGUGUAAAUCUUAUAUUUCCGCGAUAACCUAAAUGAACUUUUUGAAUAAAAUAUAGAGUAAAACUUACCCCAUAUGAAGUGGUUCUUGGUCUCAUCGUAAUCCAUAGACUAUUAUUGGCAGCAAUAACAAACUUCUUCAACCUUCAAUAAUCCUUACAUAAUGCUUCCUAGUUUUUCUUCUCACUUAAAUGCAUCAUCUACGAAAGGUCAAGCCUCGCAUGCUCCUACAACAUGAG